UAUACACAUAACAUCUAGUCAUAUUUAACUCUGAAACGCUAACCUAGAUUCUUUUUGCUUC
Molecule: small RNA, 61 nt
Filed under: Arabidopsis thaliana (thale cress)
Lineage: Eukaryota; Viridiplantae; Streptophyta; Magnoliopsida; Brassicales; Brassicaceae
Description: ATSL037420
Source: RNAcentral